GCAUAUCAAUAAGCGGAGGAAAAGAAACUAACUAGGAUUCCCUUAGUAACGGCGAGUGAACCGGGAUGAGCUCAAAUUUAAAAUCUGGCGUCUUUCAGGCGUCCGAGUUGUAAUCUAUAGAGGCGUUUUCCGCGCCGGACCGCGUCCAAGUCUCUUGGAAUAGAGUAUCAAAGAGGGUGACAAUCCCGUACUUGACGCGACAACCGGUGCUCUGUGAUACGUUCUCAAUGAGUCGAGUUGUUUGGGAAUGCAGCUCUAAAUGGGUGGUAAAUUCCAUCUAAGGCUAAAUAUUGGCGAGAGACCGAUAGCGAACAAGUACCGUGAGGGAAAGAUGAAAAGCACUUUGGAAAGAGAGUUAAACAGCACGUGAAAUUGUUAAAAGGGAAACGAUUGAAGUCAGUCGUGUGAAAGGUAUUCAGCCGUCUCUGGCGGUGUAUUUGCCUUUCACGGGUCAACAUCAGUUUGAUCCGGUAGAAAAAGGCGGGAGGAAGGUGGCACCCUCGGGUGUGUUAUAGCCUCCUGUCAUAUGUGCCGGACCAGACUGAGGAACGCAGCUUGCCGCAAGGCCGGGGUUCGCCCACGUACAAGCUUAGGAUGUUGACAUAAUGGCUUUAAACGACCCGUCUUGA
RNAcentral lists this ribosomal RNA (629 nucleotides) under Vishniacozyma victoriae. RNAcentral's name for it is "partial large subunit ribosomal RNA". It matches the Rfam family "Eukaryotic large subunit ribosomal RNA", at positions 38 to 657 of the family's 3401-position model. Lineage: Eukaryota; Fungi; Basidiomycota; Tremellomycetes; Tremellales; Bulleribasidiaceae. The record is from RNAcentral.